This 20840-nucleotide long non-coding RNA is filed under the name Solanum tuberosum (potato). RNAcentral describes it as "long non-coding RNA (STUB_LNC002928)". The record is from RNAcentral. Lineage: Eukaryota; Viridiplantae; Streptophyta; Magnoliopsida; Solanales; Solanaceae.
CCAACUCACUAUCAUGUUCUAUGGGAUGAUAAUGGUUUCAAUUCUGACCGCUUACAGAAGCUUAUAUACAACAUGUGCUUCACUUUUGCACGGUGCACUAAACCGGUUUCACUUGUUCCACCAGUUUACUAUGCAGACCUUGUUGCUUACAGGGGACGGAUGUUCCAAGAGGUGCUUAUGGAGAUGAACUCUCCUAGGUCUACAACUUCAUCUUCUCCAACUGCCUCAUUUCAACAAAGAUUUUAUGAUUUGCACCCUGAUUUGCAGGACAUAAUGUUUUUCGUCUGAUGGCAGACCCGUCAACUUUUUGUUCUCCUUCACCAUUAAUUCCCACUGGGGAGGAGAUGGUUGUCUACAUUUUGGAGAUGCCCAUUUCCAAACGCAUUUGAACCUCCUUUCCGUCGGACAUAGCAAAGGUGUUUGUGCGUGAAUCUAAUGGGGUUUCAUGCUUCUUUUAUUUUCUAUUGUGUGAGUUUAAUCAUUGAUGUCUUAAUGGUUUGGCGUUUGAUUGUGUUUUAUUUACUUUGGGGGAGGCCACUCCCAAGUAUGUCUGCUUAAAUUGUGUGUUUUGUAUUAUGUAUUCUGAGACAAGUUGAAUUUCGUCUUAAUAUAUUUGUGUUUGAGGUAUUUGAUGUCUCUCUUUCAGUUAUUCAAUGUGAUUGCAUUUUCUCACUUCCGUGUUUUUUCCUCAUGGAGCUAACUAAUGGGAAAAUAGACUUGAGGGACCUUAAUAUAUUCAAGUUAAAAACUAGAAAGACUCGCUCCAAAAAUAUAGGAAACAAAAAUACUUUGAAAUACUAGUAUAAGGAUUGCUAAGGAGUUUUAAACUUGAGAUUAACUCGUAUCCACUAAUCAAGGAUAAUAAAAUUACACGAUCAAUGUACUUUUAUAAAUAUUGUUAAGUAUUUUUAUAUAUUAUUAAUAUUGAAAUAAAAAUAACAUAAAAGAGUAUUAUAGAGAAACUUAGUAGUUGAUUGUUUAGGAUUCUUGGCUUAUAAAAAAUAAGAUGGACUUCUUUUACGUCGUCAUUAUUGGUCACACUUGUCUUCAUUACCAUUGAAGCAAAUGAGGAGAAGAACAAAACGACAAAACAAUAUCAGAGAGAAAAGGAGAAAGAGAUGAGUGAUUCACUACGUUAAAGAGAAGACGAAGUGCAGAGGGGAGAUUCAAAUAAAUCUGACAACCUAGAAAUGAAUCUAAUCUAAUCUCAUGAGGAACAAAACAUCAUUCCCUAUAAAAAGUGAAAAUGCCACAUCAUAUGCUCUUUUAUUCUAACUAAUAAAAUUGUCCCCUUCUUUAUAUUAAUUGAAUCUUUAAUAUAUGUAAUUCUUUUUAAAUAUAAUAUAACAUUUUAAAAAAUAUAUCAUUUAAUAUACAUUACUUUCAUCUCGCUCGCCUCUCUUACAUCGCGUUCACCACUCUUCUAUGUUUCUGAAUGCAAAUCACACCAGAUACAUGUGUAUAGUGUAUAUCUACCGUGAUUCGCAUGUACCUGGAAUACAUAACAAAAUCUCGCUUGCUUCCCUCGCCAUCUCGCUCAUUUCUCUCCUUAUUUUUGUGUAUCUGGUAGCAAAAAUACAUGUAUGUAAGUGUAUGUUUCUCAGCAUAUGGUAGAAAAUUCUUAAUUAGUAGUAAUAUACACAAUAUUUUGAAAGUAUAGAUAAUAAUAAUAUAUAUGAUAGUGAAGUACGUCUAAUUAUGUAAUUUUUGUCCGAAAUAUCCUCAAAUAACUUCCAAAAACAAGGCAAAGAGGUUUUAUAGUCUUAAAAACAAGGUAAGUCACCUUAGAUUAUUUGGACAAAUAAGGUAAGUUGCCUUAGAAGUUUUGGCCAAAUUAGAUUUAUUCAUUUCCUAUUUUUUGUUGAUUCUCUCUUAUACAAUUUUAUUCUAUUGGAUUGUCUUUAAUAUUUUUAUAACAAUGCGUAAUUCUGAUAGAUAAAUAUGCCAUAUUUACCAACAAGGAUCGUAGUAUAUGGAAAAGACCUUUUCAUUUUUAUCUAAAGAUUUCAAUUUAAUUUUUAAAUAUGAAAAAAUCUCAUAACGUAAAUUCAGAUAGUCAAAGCCUCGAUAAGAACACUAAGCAUCACGUGAAAAAUAAAAAAAAUUCAAAUUCAAUGAAUCAAAAUAGAUAAUAUAUUGACAAUAUCAUUAACUUGUAAUGUAAUUAAUAUGGAAGAAAAGUGAACAUACCUAAUAGAAAUAUGAAUAAAAUUCUUACCCGAAUUAAUAUGGAAAGAACUUACAAUGCGAAUCCGGAUAGUUAAAACCUCGAUAAAAACAUCUAAUAUCCUAUGAAAAAUAAGAAAUGUCGAAUUCCAUGAAUCAAAUCAAAUAAUAUACCAAUACUAUCAUGAACUUGAGACAAUAUCAUCAUGCAUGAACUUGAAAUAUAAUUCAUAUGAAAGAAAAGUGAACAUAUCCUAUUAGGAAUAUGAAUUAAAUUCUUGUUUGAAUUAAUAUGGAAAGAAACUUGAAAUACAUCCUAUUUACAGUAUGAAUCAAAAUCAGGAUGGAUUGUGGUGCAGUAAUGAAGCUACUCACUCUUCACCAAAGAUUUCGAGUUUGAGCUUUGAAUAAAAAAUAAUAUGUUAGGACUAUUAAAAGCCGAGUGAGAAAUAAAAAAAAUAGAAAGAAUAAAAGAUCUCUCCGUAUAGAUAGAAAAUUAAUAUGGUAUAAUUUUAAUUGCAAUGAAAAGCAGAUGCUCUUCCACUCUAUAAAUAGUCACCCCAUGAACUCUAUGUAUUUAGAGGAAAUUUUUACUUUACAAACAAUCAAAAAAUCAAAAUCAGCACGGACAAGCAAUUAAGAAAAUCAAAAACUACUCUUCAGGUACUUAAAACUUUUAUUUCAUAUUUAGUCCAAGUAAAUAUAAGUACAAGUAAAACAUUUUUGAAAGCUUUUAUAUUUUUCAUUACAUGUUUUUUCUUUUUCACUUAUCAAUUUUUUUCCUCCGUUUCAUAAGAAAUACAAAUUGCAAAGUCAACAAAUGAAUAAAUCAAGUAUAUAUCAUUUAAGAUGGUGUAAUCUCCCCUAACACUGGUGAUCAUUUUGAAGUUUUGACAUUAUUAUUAUAUAUAUAAAAAAAAUAUUUGGAAUAAACUUUGAAGUAAAGUAACUGGGAAGAAUUAGUACAUCAUAAUUAAAGCAAAUAUUUUAAUUGUUUUAACCUUUAAGUAACUGAGAUAUGUACUUUUGAUCCAUCUAAUUUUUAAUCAUAAAUUUUUUUACUGAAAUAAUAAUUAUUAAACAAUUUAAUUAACCCAUAAUAUGUCAAGUUAUUCCUACUCCACACUUGAUGAUAAUAAUGUUUUUUAAAAAGCUAAAUAUAUAAUAUAUUCAAUGUAAACGUAUUAAAACACAUACUUUUUUUUAAUUAAUCAAAAUUAAAUUUCCUUAGCAAAAGAAUUAAAAAAAAAGAGAUUAAAAUAUUAGUUUUGCAAUAACUUAGGGAUCCCAAGUGCAAUUAUCCCUUUUUAUUAUAGUGAGCAGUUCUUCAUAUGGUUUGAACUAUCAAAAGUUUUAUAAAAAUCAUAAAUUAUAAUUUCUAAUUUAUAGCUUUAUCUUAUAAGACAUAACGCAAAAGUCAAUCUAAACAUGAUCAUUCCUUAUUUCGACAAGACCCCAAAGUCUUUACCAUUUACACCUUUUUCUUCGAUUUAUUCGUUCCCUAAGUAAAGCCCUUUUCCGUCAUUUAACUUUGCUUAGCGUGUACUCUAUAAUAUAUGCUCUUCAGUCCAGUUUUUAUAAGCUCCACAACUAGAUUCUCCUACUUCACUCUCAAGUUAACGAAAACUGAAGCUUAAUAUAUUGAUAGCCCCUUAAAUUUGUGAGUAAAUAUUUAUUAAGACACUUAUAUUAUGGUAUGUUUCAAUUAAUUAAUAUUCAAACACAUGAUAAAGUGUUUAUAUUAGAUAUUUUUAAUAACUCAUAUUUUGGACGUGUCCAUUAUGUUGAUAAGUUAAUGACAUAAAACUGCCUCAUGGCAAUUUAUACACAUCAGCAUCAUUUGGAACAUGCAUGAAGUUUUCCUCCUUAUUGAGGUUAAUGCAUACAAUUAAAGGAGACGACAUAUUUUAAAUUGUUAGCUUAUCUAUGUAAAGAACGCUUGAGAACAAGCAUAAUGGUUUCCUAAAAUAAUAAGAGAUUUUUAUCAUAUUUAGAUGUUCAAUCAGGACAUGCCAUAAUUCGAGUGUCUUGAGAGAAAUUUAAUGGCAAGUUUAAGAGGUUGUCGAUGUAUUCUGCCAAAAUUAAAAGAAUUUAUAGUUGCUAACUUUCUCUUAGUGAAGUUACAAAAUGGACCGUGGGAACUACCAAUGUGGUGGCAGCGAUAACACCGGCAGGGGUGAGCACCAGAUAGGAGGUGGAAUUCAGCAGCAGCAGGUUGUGGAUGGUCCUCCUCAAUCUUCUGGUAUUAACUCAUACCUUGCUUUCUUGUUAUUAUUAUUAUUAUUAUUAUUUUGUUAGUAUUAUUAUAAUCUAUUUUCUUUAUAUCUUACUAAUUGUCUACUGCAAGUUAAUAUAUAUGUGGAUAGUCAUGCAAGCUUUAAACCGUGUUGUCUGCUUUAAGUAUGCUUUUAUUUGACAUUGAACUGAAUCAAGAUAUUGAAACAGAAAUAGAAAUUGUUUUAUUUGCGUGUCUCAGGUAAUUUUUUAUAAAUUCGUUAGAACAAUAAAAAUUCUAUGGAAACAUACCUGUAGUGAGUAAUAUAAUGCAACAAAUAAGUCUUUUAAAAUGUGACAAGAAAUACCAAAUGAAAUGUUUAGAAUAAUUCUUUUUAAGCAAGUUAUUGUAAAUUUAAUGAUUUAGUUGGUUGACUACUUGAACUUACAUCUUGUUGGUGAGGAGGGCUUGAUUUCUCACCCUUUAAUUUGAAUAUAAUAAAUACAAUGUCUUGAAAAAUCUAAUAGGAAAAUAAAUCAAAUAAGUAUAAUUAAUGAUACAGAUAAAUUAGAAACUAAGUGUAAAAUUAUCCAUUGAUUUCAUAAAGUGGACAAAGUAUUGUUGGACAUUCCAAAAUAAUAUAGUGGACAACUAUUGUUGAACGGUGAGAAUAGUAAAACAAAGAUAUAAGUGCUUCACUAUUUUAAAUAUAGCUAGAAUGAAUAGGACAACGUUCUGUAGGGCAUUCAUUCAUCGAACUAAAAAUAUCAAUUUAUAUGGAUAAAGAUGGAGUAAUAUCCAAAAAUAUCUUAAAGUUUUAAAUUAAAUAGUUAGAGAUUAUGAAUUUGAAAAGCAUGAGAGCUCUGAAUGUUUAAGAACAAUAAUUUUGAAUAGCUAAUUAGAUAGUAUUAAUUAUGAGAGUAAAUAUUUGAAACAAACAAAGGAGAAAAAUACUAGAUAAAUUCAUUCUUUUAGAAGAAUAUUUUGUAAAGGAGAAAGUGAAAAUGUAACAUGUUCUAUUUUCUAUCUAAUCGGUCACUGGCACAAAUUAAGAUGAUCCCAUAUAUAAGACUUAAAAUGAAAAAAAAAUAAAAAAAUGAUGAUGGUAGAGAUUCGUUCUUCUUCUUCUUCUUCCAAAUCAAGGAAUAUUAAAGGUUGAAAAAAUAAUAAUUGCUCUUAAAAUUAAUUAACGUUAAAUUCAAAGACCUCAAGAAUAUAUUAAAUUUGUUACAAAAGAUUAUACAAAUGCCAAAACAAAAACAACGUACAGGAAGAUCACAAUAUUGAUGUUAUUUAACAAAAUUCAUAAUUCAACUUGUGACUCGAUACCUUCCCUCUUUUAGCCUUUAGUAUAUAGUACUAUAUAAUUAAAUUUAAUAAGAUAUCAUUACUAUUUAAUAUUUAGUUAAUUAGACAUUUCAUAAUAUUUUGAUUUAGUAUAGAGACAAAAUGAUAAUCCAACUUUACACUUUGCAACUUCCCACUUUGUAUAUAAUAUGAUUCAUUCUUAUAUGGUAUGUUCGUUCAUUUUAUGUCUGCAUAAGUACACAACUGUUAAAAUGCACUGUAUUUCUGUGGGGCAGAUGUUGAUGUGGGGUCCCUGAAAAUUACAGAACAGAGUUCAUCAUCCCUUCCAGAACGUGUACCUGAUACUGGAAAAAUUGCUGUCGAGUCAAUUACGCUGCUUGCUAAUCAUUUUCCUGUUAGAUUUAAUCCCCAGUCUAUCAUUAUGCAUUAUGAUAUGGAUAUUCAACAUCAGCCGGUAACAGACAAGUCUGAUCUCCGUCAGAUAAGAGAAAAGUGGUUGACGGAUAAGCCUGCUGAAUUUCCCUGUGAUAAAACUGGUAAGAAGAACAUUUUCAGUGCUGUUCAACUUCCUACUGGCUGUUUCACUGUGAACGGGGGGGAUGAUGCUAUGGAACGCUCUUAUGACGUUAUCAUCAAGCCUGUUGCUGAAUUACAACUUUCGAAGCUGAGUGAAUAUUUGAGUGGACAUAUUCCUCGUGAUGUACAAGGGAUGGCGUUGUCCUUAGAUUACUCAGUCUUGGCACUCCCGGAACCAAUGCUAGUGCUAGACUAUCUGAAGGAAUAUCUUAAAGAACCUAACGAAGUUACUUUCAAGAACAACCGUCAAGCUGCACAGGUUGCAUUAAAGGGUUUGAAAGUCGGAGUAAUUCAUCGUCAUACCAACCAGAAGUUUAUUAUUAAGGAACUAACUGACCUCGACACUCAUAAACUCACUUUUCCCCUUAGAGAUCCAAAAGGCAAAGAUUCCACAACCGAAGUUUUUCUUGUUGACUACUUCAGGGAUAAAUAUCAGCGGGAGAUUCAGUUCAGGGAUUUUCCUUCAUUAGUUAUUGGAAAAGGUAAUAAGAUAAACUAUGUCCCCAUGGAAUUAUGUGUCUUGGUUGAGAAACGACGGUAUCCUAAGGAGGAUUUGCAUAAGGAUACAGCCUUGAUUUUGAAGAAUAUAUCACUAGCCCAACCCCAACAGGCAAUAUGUGAAAUGGUACAGGCUAAAGAUGGGCCGUGCGGGUAUGUGAAUUCCUUAAAUAUGUGUUAUUCAUCUGAGAUUUUGUUGCUUCCUCUUGAAUUUCUUCUUUCCCACUCCAUGUGAUCAAAUAUCAUGGAUUUAAUUUCUCUGCCUUUUAUGUGUGGUUUUCUUGGCUUGCAUGUUUGUUGUGGCUUCAUUUAUGGAGUUUCCACUUUUUGUUGAAAUAGUACUUGAGUAGUUUUUCUGAUUUCUGUUGUAUUUUUAAAUGAAAACUUUAUGGGGUUUUGAAUGGUAAUUCUUAGUAAGCUAGCUCAUCCUAUGGCUGUCUUGCUAGUUGAGUCUCUUCUAGAUUUUAAGGGCUUGUUCUUCUUGAUGUUUUCAUUUGAGCAAUGGUCUUUCGGAAUAACCUCUCUAUAUAUCUCCAUUAAUUAGUGGUAAGGUCUGCGUGCAUUCUACCCUCCUUGUGGGAUCUCACUUGGUAUGUUGUUUGCAUCAUGAGUUUGUUGAUGAUAUGCUGAUAUAUGUUAUUAGCAUCUGUUGUUACAGAGUUUCUUUUUUCCUUCUAAUUUUCAAUUGAUUAUUGCAGGGCUAUCACCGGUAAUUUUGAGAUUGGAGUUGAUAGGAACAUGACCUGUGUUCUCGGUCGUAUUCUUCCUCCCCCUGAUUUGAGGCUAGGCAGUCAAAGUCGACAUCAUGUGAAUGAUAAAUGCCAGUCGAAUCUUGUUGGGAAAUCUGUGGUGGAAGGUAAGGAAAUUCGACGAUGGGCUUUGAUAGAUUUUAGCUCUAAGAAUGACAGGGACUUGAAGCGACAAGUUGAUGUAUUUGUUGACAAAUUGAAAGAUCGGUACUUAAGGUUGGGUAUUAAUAUGGAAGAACCUGCUGUAAAACAUUUCACACACAUGAAUGAACUCUCUGCAGUUGGUAAGGUUGAAAAACUCCUCAAUGAUGUAGUUAAUGAAGCUAGCCAGAAAAACAAGGGUAAACUUCAAAUGAUAGUUUGUGUUAUGGCAUCAAAGGAUAAUGGAUACAAAUAUCUUAAAUGGGUCUCUGAGACCAAAAUUGGCAUUGUAACCCAGUGUUGCUUGUCUUCUAAUGCCUACAACAAUGCAAAGGAUCAAUUUCUUGCAAACCUCUGUUUGAAGAUUAACGCAAAACUUGGAGGCAGCAAUAUGGAACUUAUGGAAAGACUCCCUAAUUUCGGAAGUGAAGACAAUGUCAUGUUCAUUGGAGCUGAUGUUAAUCAUCCUACUGGCAAGGAUAGUGACAAAUGUCCAUCCAUAGCAGCUGUUGUUGCCACCGUCAACUGGCCAACUGCUAAUAGAUAUGCCGCUAGAGUUCGUCCUCAGGAACACAGGACUGAUAAGAUUCUAGAGUUUGGAAAAAUGUGUAAAGACCUAGUUGAUACUUAUGCGAAACUCAACUCGGUUAAACCAAACAAAAUUGUUGUUUUCCGUGAUGGUGUGAGUGAGAGUCAGUUUGAUAUGGUACUCAACGAAGAGUUGAAGGAUUUGAAAGAAGCUAUAUACGAAAGUGAUAAGUAUCGACCAUCAAUCACUCUUGUUGUGGCUCAGAAGAGACACCAUACGCGACUAUUUCCUAAGGUGGGAAAUGUGCCUCCGGGAACUGUUGUGGAUACACAGAUCGUUCAUCCAUCUGAUUUUGACUUCUAUCUUUGCAGCCACUUUGGACAGUUGGGUACUAGCAAGGCAACUUACUAUCAUGUUCUACAUGAUGAUAAUGGCUUCAGUUCUGACCGCUUACAAAAGCUUAUAUACAACAUGUGCUUCACUUUUGCGCGGUGCACUAAACCUGUUUCACUUGUUCCACCAGUUUACUAUGCAGACCUUGUUGCUUACAGGGGACGGAUGUUCCAAGAGGUGCUUAUGGAGAUGAACGCUUCUAGCUCUACAACUUCAUCUGUUUCAUUUGAACAAAGUUUCUAUAAAUUGCACAAUGAUUUACAGAACAUAAUGUUUUUCGUCUGAUGGCAGACCCGUCAACUUUUUGAUCUCCUUCACCAUUCCCACACUGGGGAGGAGAUGAUUGUCUACAUUUUGGAGAUGCCCAUUUCCAAACGCAUUUGAACCUCCUUUUCGUCGUCGACGUAGCAAAGGAGUUUGUGCGUGAAUCUAAUGGGAUUUCAUGCUUCUUUUAUUCUUUAUGGUGUGAGUUUAUGCAUUGAUGUCUUAAUGCUCUGACGUUUGAUUAUGUUUUAUUUACUUUGAGAUGUUUUGUGUUAUGUAUUCUAAGACAAGUUAAAUUUCGUCUUAAUAAAUUUGUGUUUGAGUUAUUUGAUGUCUCUCUAUUAGUUAUUCAAUGUGAUAGCAUUUUCUCACUUCGUGUUUUCCCAUAUGGAGCUAAUGGGAAAAUACACUUAAUAUAAUAUUAUACCAUCAAUCUAACCGACCAUUCAAGUUAGGAUUGUAAAAUGGCGGGUUGGGGAUCACGACUCGUCUAAUUUGACCUAUUUAAUUUCAAUAAUUUUAACAUAUUAUUACUUGCCUUUUAUAAUUACAACUUGAAUUUCAAAGAAAAUAAAAAGUAUAAGUUAGAAAACAGAUAAAUUCUAAAUGAUAUAAAAUAGAGUUGAAUCAUCCCUAGUUCAAGUGAAAAAAUUAGAGAGACUCACUCCAACGAAAAAAAAAGAAAAAGUAAUUCGAAAUAGUAUGAGGACAAGAGUUUGAACUUAUAUACGAACAAAGAGUUUUACACUAUAACUCAGUAAAACUAUCCACAAGCAACAUCCAAAAAAAAAAACAAAGAGGUUUUAUAAUCUUAUAAACAAGGUAAGGUAAGGUGCCUUGGAAGAUUUGGCCAAAUAAGAUUUUACCGUUUCAUUUUUGAGAUAAGUGGGUUAAAACACACCUAAAUUAUACCUUUUUUUUUAGUUUCAUACCCAAACUAUUGAAAGUGUGAGAAACACACCUAAACUAUUUCACUUUAGUUUGAAAAACACACCUCAAAUGAAAUAUGAUAGUGUGUAUUACACUCUCUCAAUUUUUUUUAAAAUGCCACAUAGAUUGCCACAUGGAAACAAAUUCCACCAUGUCAAAAGAUUAAAGUUUAACCUUCAACGUGUAGAAGCAUCUUUCUCUGUUUCUUAGCUGAGUCUCUUUGGUGUGUGAAAAUUUUGAGUAAAUUAGGGUUUUAACUAUUAAUUCACAAAUUCAUCAUGGUUUGAAGGUUGGUUACUCAUUUGUCAAAAAAUGUUAGGGUUCUAAUUUUUGUCUCAAAAUAUUAAUGAUUUUGUAUAAUAUUUUAGGUUUUGAUUCAUACCAUCUUAAAAGAGUUGAAAGGAGAAGAAAUUGACUACAUAAGGUACUCUUUCUUUACUCCUGAACUUAAUUUUCGUACUGGUGGCGAUUUUUAGCUACUGAUUUCAUGAACAAUAGUUGGCUUAUUAAACUUUGCAUAUUUCAAUUUUUCUAAGGUAAUGGGCACUAAGUACGUAAAUUUGAGGUUUCACAUCGGUGGUAUACUUGUGAGUGAGGUAGGACCUGCUUAUAUUGGGGGGAAAAAGAAUAUGCCUUCAAUGUUGAUAUAGACCAUUUUUCUAUUCUGGAAGUGAAUGACUAUUGCAGGGAUUUUGGGUUACCAUAUAGAAAAUAUAUAUAUUGGAGCUGCUCAAGUUGACAAUUUGGUAGAAUUGGUUAAAGAUAGGGAUUUGUUGGUCUUAGCCAAUUUGUUGGUUGCUGGGGGUACUAUGGACAUUUAUAUCUGCCAUAAAGGGGAAGUUUUUAUCAAAACAGCACAUGUGACCAAUGAGUCUUUUGAGACCACAUGCAAUGAAGUUGAUAGACCUAAUAAAUAAUCUACCAACAAAGCUGGUGAAGGUCUCAAUGCACCUUUAGGGAAAGAAAUAACAUUUAUUGAUGGUAGAGAUCAAAUUGUCGGGGUCCAACAAUCAAAUCUGAUAGAAAAUGGCAGCAGAAACACAAAUGAAGUUGAAGAUGAAUAUAAGUUUUCUAGUGAAGAUGAAGAUUCAGAGGAAGAUUCCGUAGAAAUUAUUGUGCAUAGUGAUGCUGAAAGUGAUGAGAAUGUUGACUUUUCUAGUGACGAGGAUGGUUAUGGGAGUGAUAUUCAUGAAGAGCUGAGCAUAGUUAAGAAGGAUUUGAAAGCAUAUUUUGAAGAAAAAAAAAGAGCCCAAGGAAAAAAAAAAUUGCUGAGUGUUUUCUGGGAGAAGUUGGCAUAGAUCGUGGUUUUGAAGACAUUGAUAAAUCCAAGAAAAAUUUAACUGGUAAGCUAGUUGGUGAUGAGCCUUUUUACGACAGUUCUGAUGCCGAUAGUUUUGAAAGUGAAAGUGAGGGGGAAAUAGAUGUUGAAAGAUCUGAUAUUUUAAGGGCAAGAAAGAAAGACAAAAGGGUCUCAUAUGAUCUAACAAUGAAAAAAUUUGUGUGGCAACUUAAUAUGGUAUUUGAAAAUGUGAAAAAAUUCAGAGAAGGUUUGAGCAAGUAUGCAAAUUGAGAGAGGUUGUCAACUGGAUAAGAUCCACAAUGAUCAAAGAAGGGUCAGAGUAAAAUGCAAAGCUAAUGGCUAUCCUUGGAUACUUUAUGCAAGCAAAGAUUUCAAAUCUUCUGAUUUCAUUAUAAAAACCUACAAUCCUAGACAUAAGUGUUAUAAGACCAAUACCAACACAAUGUGCUACUCUAAGUUUUUGGCUAAGUACUAUAAAAGUAGAAUUGUUUCUCAACCUUGCAUAAAGGGAUGUGAAAUGCAAGAUUUGGUCAGGAUAGACAUGGGAUUGUAUGUUGGUAAGUUCGUGUGUUUGAAGGCCAGAAAAAUAGUGUUGAAAAAGAUAAUGGGUGAUCAUGUUGCCGAGUUUAGUAGAAUCUAUGACUACAGAGAUAUGCUUCUUGAAUCAAAUCCAGGAAGCACUUGUGUGGUGAAAGUGACAAAUUGUGAUGAUGGAAAAAAAUUCUUUCAUUCCUUUUAUAUUUGUUUUUCAGUUUUGAAAAAAGGAUUCAUUGAGAGUUGUAGAAAGUGCAUUGGGUUAGAUAGUUGCUUUUUGAAGGGAAUAUCUAAAGGCCAGCUACUUGUUGCUAUUGCAAAAGAUGAGAAUAAUCAGAUGUUCCCAAUAGCAUGGGCUGUUGUUGGAACUGAAAGUAGAGAAACUUGGACUUGAUUUUUGAGAAUCUUGAAAUCUGAUUUGGACAUUAAUGAUGAAGGAGAAGGAUUGACUAUCAUAAGUGAUAUGCAAAAGGUACGAUUUUUAGCCUCUGAUUUCAGCUAUUUUAGCCAAUAUUAGCUGCUAUUUUCAGCUUUUUUAGCUACUAAUUUAAGCUCUUUUUUAAUCUCUGUUUCAUCUCUUAUAAUCCAAUUUUAACUAUUGAUUUCAUGAUUUUUUAGCUGAUGUGUUAUAAGUAGUUUUUAACUAUUGAUUUCAGCAUUUUGUAAAGACCUUUUGAUAGUCCAUAACAACAUUCUAUCUUGUCCAUAAAAUUAGAAACUCUAGCGGUACUUUGUUAUUCAACUUGUUUAGCUACUGUUUUUUUUUUGCUACUAUUUUCAUCCCAUUUAGCUUUAGUUGUUAAGUGAUUUUAGUCUUAGUUGUGCAUAUUCUUCACUUUUGAUGCCACACUUGUAUUGGAUUAACAAAAAUACACUACUUUUGGCUAAUUCAACAUUCCCUCAUUGACAUUUUUGAAGAGUCCAAGCAACAUAUAUUUUAGUUAUUGUUUUGAGUGAUUUUAACCACAUAAGUUUUUCAAGGAUUAUAUUUAGUUGCUCAGGAGUUGCUUCCAGAAUGUGAACAAAGAAUGUGUGCAAGACAUAUACUGCAAACUGGUCAAAAAACUGGAAAGGUGUUGAGGAAAGAAAGAGGUUUUGGGCUUGUGCUAGAUCAACAUUUGAAGAUGAACUCAGGAAGAACUUGGAUAAAUUAGCACAAUUAGGCAAAGAUAUUUCUAAUGACUUGGCAAACUUCAAUCCUAAUAGAUGGUCCAAAAGCACAGUUUAGGACAUCCUCAAAAUGUAGACAAUGUGGAUAACAAUAUGGUUGAAAGUUUUAAUGCUUGGGUGUUGGGUGCUAGGCACAAGACUAUCAUCAAUAUGCUUGAAAAAUAAGGAAAAAGGUACUGAAUAGAUUCACUAAAGUGAUAACAUUUGUAAAUAGUUGGACUCAUGACAUAUUUCCAAUGGCAAUGUUGGUGCUAAAUACAAAUGUGAAGAAGUCAAUGAGGGUGGAAAUUAGUUGGAAUGGUGACAUUGGGUAUGAAGUGAAAGAUAGUCCAUAUAUACAUGUGGUUAACCUAAUUCAAGAAACUUGCACUUGUAGAAGUUGGGGAUUGAAAGGGAUUCCUUGUGCACAUGCAAUAGCAGCCAUACAUCACGAUGAAGCUAAUCUCCUUGACACGAUUUGUAAGUGGUACAAAAAAGAAACCUACCUGAAAGCUUAUAAACAUUUUUUACAACCAGUAACAAACAUAAAGAUGUGGCCCGAGACAUCGAAUUCAAAAGUUGAGCCACCUCAUGUUAGGAAAAUGCCAGGAAGGCCUGGUAAAAAAGAAAGAAGGAACUUGGAGAGGUACCAAGUGCCGGAAAGCUUCCAAAGAGGGGGAAAAUCGUGAGUUGCUCCGCUUGUAAGUCAAAAGGUCACAAUAUAAGAACAUGUCCAAACAAACCUCCAGCCACUUCAGAGGUACAUUUGAUUUCUAUUAAUGUUUAUUUAUAGUGUAUUAAUACCGUUAACACUUUCAAAAUUAUUCUUUGCAUAGGGUAUUACUACAUCACAAGCAUCUGCCAGUAGUAAAAGAAGUGGCAAGCAAAAAUCUCACCCCACUCAAGCAGUACAACAAUCUCAAUCUUCUGAACCAUCUCAAGCAAUAGUGCAAAGUGACAGUGGUAAUAGAAAAGGUGCAAAUAAUGCAUUUAAAAGGCCAAGAGUAGUGGGUCAUGGAGUAUUUGUGAGCAAAGAUGAUUUUAUUUGUGCCGAGGUAAAAACGAGAGUUAAUAAUCUUAUAUUCUUAAUUAAACUUCUUAAAAAUAAUUUAAUGACUCUUUAUUACUUUACAACAAGGAAGAUCUAUUAGUAGGGUAAUCAAGAGUGGAGCACAAGAGAAACUGAUAAGUUCAGCUAUUGUCACCGGUGACCUUGGGUAUGCACCAAGUAAAGGUCUUAAAUGAAAGGGGAAAAGUGCUAUCACAGGAAGACAACUUCAACAUAAAAGUGCUUUGCUUAGACAGAAGAACAUCAAGUCACAAACUUCAUCACAAGGUGCAACAAGAACUGAAGGUGUUUAGGGAUGAUGUGGCUGAUUUUCAUGUGGCUCGAACUAUUUUUAAGUCGCGUAUUUUGGUUGUGAAUAGGACGAUAUCGACUUUUAGUUGUGAACUUUGAUGUUACUAAACACGGUGACUAAUUUGCAGCCCAAGUAGUUAUUGUAAGCUACUAAACAUGGUGACUGAUUUUUCAUGUGGUUCGAACUGUUCUUAAGUCGUGUAUUUUGGUUGUGAAUAGGAUGGUAUCGAAUUUUGGUUGUGAAUAGGAUAGUAUACUGAUUUGCAGCCCAAGUAAUUUAAUAUCGUUGUAGGUUGCUUGGCAAAUUGAAGCAUUACUUGGUUUCAGUGUUUCUAUACUAUACAAACUAGAGCCGAUCAAUUUUUUACUUCGAGCUACUAAAAAUGCUUUGGUGACUUCUGUCCUUAGGUGCUCAUAGUUGUUUAAAUAAUCGUAAUCAGAAAAUUAUUGAUGAAGUAGUCUGUAAAAAGUGACAAUUCAAUAGAAAGAAACUAUGCUCUAUUUGGUGGCAUAAUGAUACCACAAAUAUAGUCUAACUAGUUAUUAAACAAACAAAAAAAAUAGAAUCUGAUGUCAUGGACAAUUACUCACUCCUCAAAUUAUUAAAGCUACCAAAGGGCGUCGUGGAUUCCUUGUAUGGCAUCAUUGAUAUACAAAUAGCAGUCCCUUUUGAGCGAGCUUAAGCAACUAGUGUAACAUAUAAUUUAAGGUAUGUUUCUCACUCUCCUAAUAGUUUAGGUGGGAAAGUAGUCAAACAAUUUUAUAGUUUAGGUGUAUUUUGAUAUUUUAUUUUUUGAAAAAGAAGAAGCCAUGCGGACGAAAAUCAAGGCCACACGCGCGCAAAAGAGUGUGUACACACACAUUUGGUCCAGUCAGCACAGAGGUGUGCUUUUCAAACUAAAGUGUAAUAGUUUAGGUGUGUUUCUCACACUUUCAAUAGUUUGGGUAUGAAACUCAAAAAAAUGGUAUAGUUUAGGUGUGUUUUAAUCACUUAUCUCUUUCAUUUUUUUGUGUUAAUUAUCUCAGGUACAAUAGUACUUUAUUAGUAUUUUUAUAAUAAUAUGUAUAAUUCUAAUAGAUAAGAAUGUCAUAUUUAUUAAGGAUCGUGAUAUAUGGAUAAGAUAUUCCCACUCUUAUUUGAAGUUCUUGAUAUAAAAAAAAACUCAUAAAGCAGAUUCGAAAAAUUAAAGCUUUGGUGAAAACAUCACUCAUUACAUAAAAAAUAAAAAUAAAAUAUCAAAUUUAAUAAACCAAAACGGAUAAUAUACCAACACUAUCCUGAAUUUGAAAUAAAAUUAAUCUGGAAGAGAAGUGCACAUAUGCUAUUAGGAAUAUGAAUAAAAUUCUGGCCUAAAUUAACAUGAAAAGACACUAGAAAACUUCCUAUUCAGAAUAUGAACUCUUAGUAUUUUGGAGAAAUCUUUUAUUUUAAGAAUUAUUUAUUAGCGAUGAUGACAGAUAAUAAAAAAUUUCGUUUCAAGUACUUAAAACUUUGGUUUUAUAUUUAGUCUAAAACUCUAAAUACAUUUAAGUGCAAGUAAAUCAUAUUUGAGAGCUUUUAUAUCUUUCAUUAUACAUGUUUUUGAUAUUUGUCUUUUUUACUUUAUCAUUUUUUCCCAAACAUGUCAUAAGAAAUGCAAAUUACAAAGUCAACAAAUGAAUAGAUCAAGUACACAUCAAAUUAAGAUGGGUAUAAUCUCCUUUAAUACUAAUUGUAAUCAUUUUUUAAGUUUUGACAUUAUAUAUAAAAGUAGUUAUUUGAAAUAGACUUUGAAGAGAAGUAAUUAGAAAGAAUUAGUACAUCAUAAUUGAAGCAAAAUUAAAUUUGCUUAGAAAAAGAAUUAAAAGGAUUAAAAUCUUAAUUUAACAAUAACUUAUGAUCCCAAGUUCAAGUAUCCCUUUUAGGCUUCCUUAUUCCAUUUUAUAUUAUACCAUAUUUGAUUAAACACCAAUUAUCUGAUACAAUAAAAUGAUUUUAGUAAACUCUCUUAUGUCACAAUUUCAUUAUAAAACAAAUUUCCCUCUAAGGUUGUAGUAAUAAUAAUAAUAAAAAAGUAGACAUCAAAUCAACUUCCAACAUUUGAUUAAAAUAAAAAAUAUUUAAAAUAGGUAUAAUUCAAAUUUUACAAUUAAGAAAUAAACACAAAAAAUUAUCCGAUGUAUUCAAACAAAGUAUUUAAUUUAUUUAAUCUAAUACUCUGUUUGAAUGCUCGUUAUAUAUUGUAUUAUAUCAUAUUGUAUCGUCUCAAUAAAUACAAUAUUUAAAUAAGUCGUAUCAUUUUUUAAAAUUAUAUAAUGUCACACAUGAAUAAUAAACUUACCCGAAAAAAGAAAAAUACGAAGUAGAAGUAUCAUUAAAAUUUAGAGUAUAUAUGAUAGAAUUAGAUAAAUAAAAGUUAAUAAGUAAAAGUAAAAUCAGAAAAAAAUAUUCAAAGUGAGAUUUUUUAUAAUUUAACAAUGGAAUGGGUAAUUAUAUUUGCGUUGCAGCAUUUAACAGUGUCACUGACAAGUCGAGUACGUAGUCGUUGUAUUUCUUCACCAAUAACCAGUUUUUCCUUGUCCACUACUUCAUCCAAUUGAUUAAAUACCAAAACUACCCUCAACCCCAAAAGAUUGGAAGAUAAGACACCGAAUAAUUUGUUCUACUAUUUUGUCGUUUAUUUAACAAACAAAACCUUAUAGGGACUAAAAGGUCAAUUGCAUGCAUGAAUUUAUCCACUCACUUUUCGUGGAAUCGUCCUUUUUUCGUCAUUUAGCGUCUACUCUAUAUACUCAGCCUUGAGUCGAUUUAUUUUAGCUCAACUUCAUCAUUCUCAACACAAAAACUUUAGAAGAAUUUACAGUUGCUAGUUUUCUUUCUCUCUUAGCUAAAAAUAAUACUCAAGUUAGCAGCAAAUGGACCGUGGAAGCUACAACGGACGUGGUGGAGGUAACCGUGGUCGUGAUCGUGGUCGUGUUCGUGGUUACAACGAACCGAGACAAGGCCGUGCUCGUGGUUACAACGAACCGAGACAAGACCGUGCUCGUGCUUACUACGAACAUGAACAAGUCCGUGCUCGUGGUCAGCACGAACAGGAACAAGGCCGUGGACGUAGUGGAAGGGAUGGGUUUCAGAUGAGUUCAUCUUCAUCUAACCAGCCGAGGCCAUCGGGUCAGCAUCAGUUUACUGAGACUGGGGCUCCGGAAAAUCAGCCGGUUAGUCAGACUCCGGAAGCUACUGUUAUUAGUUGGGCCGAUAGACUCAGAAGAGGUGUUGGUACUGCUUCACCACGGCCACAACAGCAACAGGGUAGAGGCGUUACAAGCACUGUUUGGGCACGGCCACAACUGCAACAGGGAAGAGGCGGCGGCGUUGGGCAGCAACAUGGUGGUGGAAACCAGCAGCAGGAAGGUGUGGAUCGUCCUCCUCUUCGAUCUUCUGGUAUUAACUCAUACCUUGUUAUGAUGUUUUUCUUAGUAUAGUCUAUUUUCUUUAUAUUGUUAAGUUAACAGCAUCUUGCAACGUACUUGUUUAUAACAUGCAAAAACUAGGCAAUUUUCUAUGAGUUAGAAGUUUUGAUAUUCAUGAUAAUUGAUAGCUGUUAUAUCUAUAUCUGAAGCUGUAAAGUAUUGUUUUAUUUAGCGUUGAACUGGAAUUUAAAUUCAUAGGUUUCUGUAUAUUAUGAUCUAUAUUUGUUUUGUUUUUGGUUUAAAAUAAAUGAGUAAUUUUCAUCUGCAAGUUCUUCUUAUGAAGCAGACCUGUAUUUUCUUUUUUUUUUAUUAGCUCACUAGUUUUAUGCAUGUCAACAUUCUUAAAAUGCACUGUACUAUUUUUGUGGGCAGAUGCUUCAGUUCUUCUGGGGAAAAUCAAUCUGAAGGAUUCAAAAAAACGUGAACCUAUGGGACGACCUGAUGGUGGAAACAAUUCUUACAAGUCGAUUAGCCUGCAUGCUAAUCACUUUCCUGUUAAAUUUAAAGACGGGACUAUCAUUUUGCAUUAUGAUGUGGAUGUUCAACAGGUUGAUGAGAAUCAGCCUGGGAAGCCGGUAACAGAAAAGUUUGAUCUCCGUAAGAUAAGAGAAAAGUGGUUGAUGGAUAAGCCUGCUGAAUUUCCCUGUGAUAAAACUGCAUAUGACGGUAAUAAGAACAUUUUCAGUGCUGUUGAUCUUCCUGCUAAGCCUUUAACUGUGAACUGCUCUGUUGGGGAUGAUGCUAAGGAAUGCAAGUACACGCUUACCUUCAAGCUUGUUGCUCAAUUACAACUUGACAACGUGACCGGAUAUAUGAAACGAAACCUCCAGAAUAUUCCUCGUGAUGUACUACAAGGAAUGGAUUUGGUUAUGAAAGAAAAUCCUAGAAGGUGCAGGAUUUCUGUAGGUCGUUGUUUCUACUCUAACAAUGCUUACAAAAUUUUUAAUCGCGGGGUUGCUGCACGUAAAGGUUUUCAGCAGAGCCUAAAGCUAACAUCUGAAGGUCUUGCGUUGUGCUUAGAUUACUCAGAACUCUUGGUAAUCCCGGAACAAAUUUCAGUGAUAGGCUUUUUGAAGGAAUAUUAUGGAGGAAUUAUUGAAGACAUUUUCAAGUAUAGAAGAGCAGCUGCAAGUGAUUUAUUGGCUGGUUUGAAAGUCAAAGUAACUCAUCGUCCUAACAAGCAGAAGUUUGUUAUUAAGAAGCUAGUUCCAGGAGAAACUCGUGCUCUUACAUUUCGCCUUCAAGAUACCGAAGAGGAGGUUUACCUUGUAGACUACUUCAAUGAUAAAUAUACCUGUGAAAUUCUGUACAAGCAUUUACCUUCACUAGAUAUUGGAAAAGGUGAGAAGAAAAACUAUGUCCCGGUGGAAUUCUGUGAAUUGGUUGCGGGACAACGAUUUCCUAAGGAUCGUUUGAAAACAGCCUCGCCUAAACCCGAAGAGAGAAGGGGGUUAAUAUGUGAGACGGUACUGGCUACAGAUGGGCCGCGCACGUAUGUGAAUUCCUUAAAUUUCUUUUGUGUUUUCUUCUGAGAUUUUGAUGCUUCCUCUUGAAUUUCUUCUUUCUGACAAUAAAUAAAUGUGGUUGAACUUUUUUGAUCUUCUAUGGGUUGGUUUUCUUUUCUUUCAUUAUAGAGUAAGUAUAUACAUUUCAUAAAGUAUAGGUGGAUAUUGAUUGAUACAGUACUUAUGUUGCAAACUAUACUCUGAUUAUCUAUGUAUUUCAUUUCUAAUCUUCUUUUUGGGUUUCUUUCCUUGCUUAGACAUUUCAUAAAUUACUGAGUUUAGAUCGUCAAUUUAUUCACUGUCAUCAUGAACUUAUUGAUGAUAUAUUUUUCACUUGAUUAUUGCAGGACUAUUCCCGGUAAUUUUAAGAUUCGUGUUGAUGACCACAUGACCCGUAUUUCGGGUCGUAUUCUUCCUGUCCCUGUUUUGAAGCUAGGCGGUCAAAUUCCACCUUAUUUGAAUGAUAAGACAUGCCAGUGGAACCUUGUUGGGAAAUCUGUGGUGGAAGGCAAGGCGCUUCAACGAUGGGCUUUGAUAGAUUUUAGCUCUAAGGAAAACAGGGACUUGUUGAAGCUACAAGUUGAUAAAUUUGUCUUGAACUUGAGAGAUCGGUGCAGAGAAUUGAGUAUUAAUAUGGAAGAACCUGCUGUAGUACAUUCUACUGACAUGAAGGAGCUCUCUGCAGUUAGCAAGGUUGAAAAUCUCCUCAAAGUUGUGGUUGAUGCAGCUGACCAAAAAAUAAAGGGUAAACUUCAAAUGAUAGUUUGUGUUAUGACAUCAAAGCAUAAUGGGUACAAGUAUCUUAAAUGGGUAUCUGAGACCAAAAUUGGAAUUGUAACCCAGUGUUGCUUGUCUUCUAAUGCCAACAAGCUACAUAAUCAAUAUCUUGCCAACCUCUGUAUGAAGAUUAAUGCAAAACUUGGGGGCAGCAAUAUGGAACUUAUGGAAAGACUCCCUAAUUUCGGAAGUGAUGACAAUGUCAUGUUCAUCGGAGCUGAUGUUAAUCAUCCUGCUGCAGGAAAUGUGAAAUGUCCAUCCAUAGCAGCUGUUGUUGCCACCAUCAACUGGCCAGCUGCUAAUAAAUAUGCCGCUAGAGUUUCUCCACAGGAACACAGGACUGAAAAGAUUCUAGAGUUCGGGAAAAUGUGUAAAGACCUAGUUCGUACUUAUGCGGAACUCAAUUCGGUUAAACCAAACAAAAUUGUUGUUUUCCGUGAUGGUGUGAGUGAGAGUCAGUUUGAUAUGGUACUCAACGAAGAGUUGAAUGAUUUGGUAGAAGCUAUAUACGAAAGUAAUAAGUAUCAACCAGCAAUCACUCUUGUUGUGGCUCAGAAGAGACACCAUACACGACUAUUUCCUAUGGAUGGAAAUGUGUCUCCGGGUACUGUUGUGGAUACACAAAUUGUUCAUCCAUCUGGUUUUGACUUCUAUCUUUGCAGCCACUAUGGACAGUUGGGUACUAGUAAGGCAACUCACUAUCAUGUUCUAUAUGAUGAGAAUGGCUUCAAAUCUGUUGAUUUACAACGUCUUAUAUACAUGCUUCACUUUUGCACGGUGCACUAAACCUGUUUCACUUGUUCCACCAGUUUACUAUGCAGACCUUGUUGCUUACAGGGGACGGAUGUUCCAAGAGGUGCUUAAGGAGAUGAACUCUUCUAGGUCUACAACUUCAUCCUCUGAAGCUUCGUCGUCAUCAUCUUCUCCAAUUGACUCAUUUGCACAAGAAUUUUAUGAUUUGCACCGUGAUUUGCAGAACAUAAUGUUUUUCGUUUG